UACACUCCUGCGGGAGGCAGCAGUGGGGAAUUUUGGACAAUGGGGGCAACCCUGAUCCAGCAAUGCCGCGUGAGUGAAGAAGGCCUUCGGGUUGUAAAGCUCUUUUGUCAGGGAAGAAACGGUGGUGGCGAAUAACUACUACUAAUGACGGUACCUGAAGAAUAAGCACCGGCUAACUACGUGCCAGCAGCCGCGGUAAUACGUAGGGUGCAAGCGUUAAUCGGAAUUACUGGGCGUAAAGCGUGCGCAGGCGGUUGUGUAAGUCAGAUGUGAAAUCCCCGGGCUCAACCUGGGAAUUGCAUUUGAGACUGCACGGCUAGAGUGUGUCAGAGGGGGGUAGAAUUCCACGUGUAGCAGUGAAAUGCGUAGAUAUGUGGAGGAAUACCGAUGGCGAAGGCAGCCCCCUGGGAUAACACUGACGCUCAUGCACGAAAGCGUGGGGAGCAAACAGGAUUAGAUACCCUUGUAGUCC
RNAcentral lists this ribosomal RNA (472 nucleotides) under uncultured organism. RNAcentral's name for it is "partial 16S ribosomal RNA". It matches the Rfam family "Bacterial small subunit ribosomal RNA", at positions 332 to 796 of the family's 1533-position model. The record is from RNAcentral.